GGCAGNUUACUAAGCAACAACUGACGCUGAUGGACGAAAGCGUGGGGAGCGAACAGGAUUAGAUNCCNNGGUANNCCACGCCGUAAACGAUGCUAACUCGUUUUUGGAAUGUAAGUUUCAGAGACUAAGCGAAAGUGAUAAGUUAGCCACCUGGGGGGUACGAACGCAAGUUUGAAACUCAAAGGAAUUGACGGGGGCCCGCACAAGCGGUGGAUUAUGUGGUUUAAUUCGAUGAUACGCGAGGAACCUUACCAAGGCUUAAAUGGGAAAUGACAGGUUUAGAAAUAGACUUUUCUUCGGACAUUUUUCAAGGUGCUGCAUGGUUGUCGUCAGCUCGUGCCGUGAGGUGUUAGGUUAAGUCCUGCAACGAGCGCAACCCCUGUCACUAGUUGCCAUCAUUAAGUUGGGGACUCUAGUGAGACUGCCUACGCAAGUAGAGGGGAAGGUGGGGAUGACGUCAAAUCAUCACGGCCCUUACGCCUUGGGCCACACACGUAAUACAAUGGCCGGUACAGAGGGCAGCUACACUGCGAAGUGAUGCAAAUCUCGAAAGCCGGUCUCAGUUCGGAUUGGAGUCUGCAACUCGACUCUAUGAAGCUGGAAUCGCUAGUAAUCGCGCAUCAGCCAUGGCGCGGUGAAUACGUUCCCGGGCCUUGUACACACCGCCCGUCAAGCCAUGGAAGUCUGGGGUACCUGAAGUCGGUGACCGUAACAGGAGCUGCCUAGGGUAAAACAGGUAACUAGGGCU
This 748-nucleotide ribosomal RNA is filed under the name uncultured prokaryote. RNAcentral's name for it is "bacterial SSU rRNA". It matches the Rfam family "Bacterial small subunit ribosomal RNA", at positions 720 to 1482 of the family's 1533-position model. The record is from RNAcentral.